Molecule: long non-coding RNA, 412 nt
Filed under: Setaria viridis
Lineage: Eukaryota; Viridiplantae; Streptophyta; Magnoliopsida; Poales; Poaceae
Description: long non-coding RNA (SVIR_LNC007328)
Source: RNAcentral
CUACCUCCUAGGAGGGCCCUUCAUCAUCAAAGAAGUCAUCUAGCUAGGCACCUAUUAUCUCCAAUGGGUAGAAGGCUCAGGCGUCCCCAAUCCAUGGAACAUCAAACAUCUAUGGUGCUUCUACCCUUAGAUCUAAAAGCUAUGGACUCUAUUUUUCCUUUUUAUUGAAUAAGUAAAACCUCUGAGUUUCUUUGCGUACAUACUGCCUUACUGUUCCUACGUCCGAGCUGUUCCUGACACUUGGGGGCUAUCUGACUUGUUCGACAUACCACUCGCUCUCAAGCUCAAGGGCUUCUUUAGGCGCCGACCUCUGUGUCUCACAUCCUUUUCCUCCCCCUCUCAAGGCAAUACGACUAACUCGUGUGGUCGGCGUUCUAGCUCAUGAAACCUAGACAACCUUGUGUUCACCCCU